CCUACGGGGGGCAGCAGUGAGGAAUAUUGGUCAAUGGGCGCGAGCCUGAACCAGCCAAGUAGCGUGAAGGAUGACUGCCCUACGGGUUGUAAACUUCUUUUAUAAAGGAAUAAAGUGAGGCACGUGUGCCUUUUUGUAUGUACUUUAUGAAUAAGGAUCGGCUAACUCCGUGCCAGCAGCCGCGGUAAUACGGAGGAUCCGAGCGUUAUGCGGAUUUCUUGGGGUUAAGGGGAGCGUAGAUGGGUUGUUAAGUCAGUUGUGAAAUGUUGCGGCUCAACCGUAGAAUUGCUGUUUAUACUGGAAGCUUUGAGUACAGUGGGGGUAGGUGGAAUUCGUGGUGUAGCGGUAGAAUGC
This 354-nucleotide ribosomal RNA is filed under the name uncultured bacterium. RNAcentral's name for it is "partial 16S ribosomal RNA". It matches the Rfam family "Bacterial small subunit ribosomal RNA", at positions 338 to 689 of the family's 1533-position model. The record is from RNAcentral.